CUUUCAAACAUGUUCAAAGAGCGGUUUAACUGUGCCGUGCAGCGAGGGAUAUGCAGUCCCAGAGUGCAUUGUGUGGAGGCUGGCUCUUACUCCCAGCCAGCAUACCGUGGUAACCCACUUUAGACGCUUCUCUGAUGGUGAGAGUCACUCUUCUCAAUGUAUUCACACCGAAUGAACUCUCUCCUUCCACAGUUUCAGACACACGAAUGAAGACCACCGGUGACUCGGGAAUGUGUCUGAUCUUUCCGGACACGACAGCGCUCACGCCGUUUGGCUGAAUAAUGCAUUGCUCACACUUGAGUGAAGUGGAGCUUCAGCGAGACGAGAAUGCAAGUCCUCACUUGACGUGUGCUGAACGCUCAUUUCCAGCUUUGUCGGUGCAGGAGGUUUAGUGAUGAACAAGUAGAAGACCCUCACCUUUGGUUCUGAGGCUGACAGGCUGACCUUUGACCUUCUGCAACUGUGAAGCAGAGAGAAAGAGGGUUGCCAUCUGUUUCCAUACCAACCAGAGCUGCCUUCUUAGUAGCUCUGUUCCAGUGCCUAGUGAGUCGCCUAUGCAAACAGCAUUUAAAGGUGUACACCAGUCUGUGCUGCAAGCUCUCACCGGCCGCCGUUCCCUGUGUUGAUGAGCGUCCAUCAUGUUAACAACAGCAUUUAACGUCUCAUUGGACAAAGCAGGAGGAUGGAGCUCCUUUCAUCACGAUGGUCGCACAGAUUUUGGAGCUGAAAGAAGAGGUUGAUUUACUACCUUUGGUGGACUGUGGAAGACAGUCAAAGCACCCAUUCACUGCAGAGAGAAUUCAUUGAUGAGCAAGUGAUGUAAUGCUGAAUUUUUCCAAAUCUAUUCUGAUGAAGAAACAAACUCAUCUACAUCUUGAAUGGCCUGAGGAUGCUGAAGGAGAAGGACGAUGAUGCUUGGGAUGGGGGUGUUUCAGAUGGAUCUGGCCUUCCUAAUGCAUCAGUCUGCAUAGAUGUCUGUGAUGUUGCUAGCUCGUGGCCCGUGAUGGACUGUGCUGUCUUCACCAUCCUCUGUAGCCAUGCAGCCAGUGAGAAUACUCUGAAUGCAGCAUCUGUAGAUUGUCAGAAUUAGCGCUGACAUGCCAGACAUCAUGAGCUCAUGGGGAAAAGCAGCCUCCGCUGUGCUUUCUUGACCACAGUGCUAAAAUGGAGAUGCAGUUGCAUGCCGUUCUGCCAUCUUGAUGUGUCUGCGCACCUCCUCUACUGAAGAGACUGUCCGCAGGAAGUCAGACGCGUCUCAAAUUGUCUGGCCACAUGAAGUCAAGAUGAACCAGGAUUUACAAUCCUUUUUAUUUCCACACUGUGACAUGUUUCUGAGUGAAACACAAUAUUCAACAAGAACACAGUUUGGGAUAUGUUGACACAGUCUUACCACAAGAAGGAAGUCAUUUGAAACAUCAUGAGGAAGAGUGGUCCCCGAUGAAACCAUGGUAGUACAUCCUCUGCUGCAUCCGAGCAUGAGAUAUGAUGUGACAGAUGCCUGGUCACUGCUGGAAUUUGUGCUUGGCCAGACAAACAUGAGUCAAGCAAUUACUGUCACUUUGGAGGAUGAAUUAAACACAGAAGCAUAUGCACGUCGAAGGAGGAAAAUGGCUCCGUAGCUCCACAUUAGGAUGUGAUGGAGGAUACAGGGGUCACUCCGCAGAAGCUCCCUAUAGAUCCAUCAGUCCUGGACUCAUCGAUCAGCAGACGAUGGGAUGAGCUGAUCAGAGCUCGGGCCUUCAACACCAGCGCAAUCUGCAUGAGAUGACAAAACACACACAAUCUUCCUAAAGCAAGCUUCCAGAAAAUAUCCUCCCUGCUAUGCGUAAUCCGUGUUUCCAUAGCUAGCCUGUGCAUUUAUUUCUGUCCUGUCCUUUUUGAUUUGAGCGUGGAUUUACGAUCAAAGAGAUAAAUGACAAGCAAACGUGUAGUGUAAAAUUCAGAGCCUUUGCAGACUCUUGGAUGUGAUUUUGGAAAGAGAUGAGAGGAAAAGCAGUCUGUGUGUGUGGCAGCCGGUCCCAGAACAGUGUCCGUAAUCUCCGGUGAAUGUUCAGCUGUGUGUGCAUUUCUACUUUGUCUUUAGAAAAAAAACAUUUGAUAGGAUAACAAUGCAGUUUUCCUCUGAAACCUCCAAAGUACACAGCACCAAUCCUAUGGAUAGUUUUGGAUAUAUAAUAAGCGUUUUGUGUUCUCAAUCUGUCACAAAUCUAAUUUCUCUUUCAGCUAUUUUUUUUUUCCACAUCUCUUGACUGUUCCUUUCCCUCUUUUAUUCAAUUUAACUCAAAGCUGUAUUUAGAUUAAACAGGACAGGAGUGUCUGCUAAAUGUAGAUUGAGCCAUGGAUAUCAUGAACAAAAUACUAACUGAGAAUACAGGUACAUCCAUUAAAGGAAG
Cyprinus carpio carpio is the source of this 2393-nucleotide long non-coding RNA. Lineage: Eukaryota; Metazoa; Chordata; Actinopteri; Cypriniformes; Cyprinidae. The record is from Ensembl.